RNAcentral lists this signal recognition particle RNA (292 nucleotides) under Vombatus ursinus (common wombat). Its description in RNAcentral is "Metazoan signal recognition particle RNA (ENSVURG00010008100.1)". It matches the Rfam family "Metazoan signal recognition particle RNA". Rfam says of the family: The signal recognition particle (SRP) is a universally conserved ribonucleoprotein. Lineage: Eukaryota; Metazoa; Chordata; Mammalia; Diprotodontia; Vombatidae. The record is from Rfam by way of RNAcentral.
GUCAAGAGUGGUGGCACAUACCUGUAAUCUCUGCUAUUGGGGAGGCUGAGGCUGGUGGGUCACCUGAGUUUGGAGGUCCUGGGCUGCAGCCAGACUGAAACUGAUCAGGUAUCUACACUGUGUGGCAUGAGUAUGGUGAGCCCCUGAAAACGGGGGGCCACUAGACUGCAUAAUGAGGGGCAAACCGGCCCAGAUCAGAAACUAAGUAGGUCAAAGCUUCCAUACAAAUCAAUAGUGGGAUUGGCCCUCAAGUAGCUGCUGCACUUCCAGCCUGGGUGAGAGAGAGAGAGAG